RNAcentral lists this transfer RNA (63 nucleotides) under Melasis buprestoides. RNAcentral's name for it is "tRNA-Asp". Lineage: Eukaryota; Metazoa; Arthropoda; Insecta; Coleoptera; Eucnemidae. The record is from RNAcentral.
GAGAAUUUAGUUAAAAAAUAACAUUAAUUUGUCAUGUUAAAAUUAUAUAAUAAAUAAUUCUUA